CUACGGGGCGCUCCAGUGAGGAAUAUUGCACAAUGGGGGGAACCCUGAUGCAGCAACGCCGCGUGGAGGAUGACGCAUUUCGGUGUGUAAACUCCUUUUAUAUGUCAAGAAAAUGACGGUAGCAUAUGAAUAGGCACCGGCUAACUCCGUGCCAGCAGCCGCGGUAAUACGGAGGGUGCAAGCGUUACUCGGAAUCACUGGGCGUAAAGGACGCGUAGGAGGGUUGGAAAGUCAGGUGUGAAAUCCUACAGCUUAACUGUAGAACUGCACUUGAAACUUCUAAUCUAGAGUAUGGGAGGGGGAGAUGGAAUUAGUGGUGUAGGGGUAAAAUCCGUAGAUAUCACUAGGAAUACCUAAAGCGAAGGCGAUCUCCUGGAACAUUACUGACGCUAAGGCGUGAAAGCGUGGGGAGCAAACAGGAUUAGAUACCCCAGUAGUC
Molecule: ribosomal RNA, 439 nt
Filed under: uncultured bacterium
Lineage: Bacteria
Description: partial 16S ribosomal RNA
Rfam family: Bacterial small subunit ribosomal RNA
Source: RNAcentral